UUCUGCGGCCAUACCCCCCUGAACAUACAUACCUGUUGUCAUUUAAACGCAGACACUAAGCAGAAAAGAGCCUGAUUAGUGGUUGGGUGGGAGACCAAGAGCAAGAGAAAAAGAAUUAGCCCCUGAGU
RNAcentral lists this ribosomal RNA (128 nucleotides) under Neogale vison (American mink). The record is from RNAcentral. Lineage: Eukaryota; Metazoa; Chordata; Mammalia; Carnivora; Mustelidae.